UACGUAGGGAGCAAGCGUUGUCCGGAAUCAUUGGGCGUAAAGCGCGCGUAGGUGGCCCUGUAAGUCCGUUGUGAAAGUCAAAGGCUCAACCUUUGAAAGCCGAUGGAUACUGCAGGGCUAGAGUACGGAAGAGGCGAGUGGAAUUCCUGGUGUAGCGGUGGAAUGCGCAGAUAUCGCUUGGAACGCCGACGGUGAAAACAGCUCGCUGGGGACUCGCUGACGCUGAGACACGAAAGCCAGGGGAGCGAACGGG
RNAcentral lists this ribosomal RNA (253 nucleotides) under uncultured bacterium. RNAcentral describes it as "partial 16S ribosomal RNA". It matches the Rfam family "Bacterial small subunit ribosomal RNA", at positions 524 to 776 of the family's 1533-position model. The record is from RNAcentral.